GGCCCAAACUCCUACGGGAGGCAGCAGUGGGGAAUAUUGCACAAUGGGGGAAACCCUGAUGCAGCGACGCCGCGUGAGUGAAGAAGUAUUUCGGUAUGUAAAGCUCUAUCAGCAAGGAAGAUAAUGACGGUACUUGACUAAGAAGCCCCGGCUAACUACGUGCCAGCAGCCGCGGUAAUAC
RNAcentral lists this ribosomal RNA (181 nucleotides) under uncultured soil bacterium. RNAcentral's name for it is "partial 16S ribosomal RNA". It matches the Rfam family "Bacterial small subunit ribosomal RNA", at positions 328 to 526 of the family's 1533-position model. The record is from RNAcentral.